Molecule: small RNA, 94 nt
Filed under: Klebsiella quasipneumoniae subsp. similipneumoniae
Lineage: Bacteria; Pseudomonadati; Pseudomonadota; Gammaproteobacteria; Enterobacterales; Enterobacteriaceae
Description: RtT sRNA
Rfam family: RtT RNA
About the family: This family represents a bacterial cis-regulatory element known as RtT RNA. The exact function of RtT is unknown although it is thought that it may be involved in changing the cellular response in relation to amino acid starvation.
Source: RNAcentral
GGAGGUUCGACUCGAGCGAAGCGAGAGAACGUUGCGUCAGCAACGGCCCGCAGGGCGAGCCACAAAGUGGCGAGUCAUCCUCUAUCACCGACCA